RNAcentral lists this non-coding RNA (31 nucleotides) under Mus musculus (house mouse). Lineage: Eukaryota; Metazoa; Chordata; Mammalia; Rodentia; Muridae. The record is from RNAcentral.
UCAGGUUAAACUACAGAAAUGGUAUGGUCAU